Molecule: transfer RNA, 78 nt
Filed under: Nocardioides albus
Lineage: Bacteria; Bacillati; Actinomycetota; Actinomycetes; Propionibacteriales; Nocardioidaceae
Description: tRNA-Thr
Source: RNAcentral
ACCGCACGGACCGACGGCGUCGUGUCGCCGGCCUCGUACGCCUGCAGGAUCUGCCCGAUCGUCGUGGGCGGGCGGUGC